CUGGACAGCCCUUCCCAGAUGGCAGGACUCCAGGCCUCCCACCUCUUGGUACGUGAGACAGCACAGAAUGCUGGGGGCCCUGCCCUCUUUCACCUCACCCAGGCUAUCAAUCGCUACUUCACUAGGUCUCUCUGUGAAUGGUUCUUGAACCUGGAAUCCAAGCCUCCUUCCCAUGUUCCUGUCCUUCUUCUGGGGGGACCUAGCCUCCUGAUGGUGUCUUCUCUUAGGAGACCAGAGACCUUACUAGAGAAGUCUGAGUCUGUUGCUGGCCCCUCUGCAGGCAUCUUGGACACAUCUCCACAGUUCAUACUCCUGGCCUGACUACCGUUUUCACAUCAUAGUCUUGCCUCACGCUGAGCAGAGCACUAUCCUGCUUCCUGCUCCUUAUGCAGAUUCCUUGGCACUGUGGCUGGAAUAGCUUAGUCCUGGGAACCUGACUGGAAGGACAAGGAAAUGAAGAAAGGACAGACACGUGUACAGAAAAGCUGGGGUCAGGAGUACCAUGCUUGCUCUGAUGGAACAGCACCAGCUACACAAUACCCUGGACCAUCGGUGUGUUUAUUAUGCAUAGCAGGAAGAGCGGUUAACUAGUCUCAGUAGGAGGACUUAGUAGGGGAGCUGUCUCAGCUUGUAGUUAUCUGAGAGGAGGAAGCUUGAUCAUAAAUACUCAUACUGGAAGCAGAGGAAGGUUUUGUCAUACCUCACAGGGAUGAAGAGGAAGGCUUGGCUAUUCCCAUUGGUCUGAGGCACUAAUGGUUCUUGAUAAGGCAGAACCCAAGUCAACAAUACACAUUCACUCAGUAUUUCACCUGCUUCUACAGCUUGGGUCACGUGUGUGUGUGUGUGUGUGUGUGUGUGUGUGUGUGUGUGUGUGUGUGUGUACAUGUUCAUGUAUGAGCAUUGUAUGUGUGUGUGUGCACACACACUCAUAAGUGUUCAUGUGGAGGCCUGAACAUAUGGGCUUAAACUAGAUCCAGUGCUUAUAAACCAUGUAUCUUCUCUCCAUCACUGGGUCUAGCCUUCUGGCCUCAGCCUGCCCACAUCAAUGCUGGAUGGUCAUAAUUCCUUUAUUGUGACCUUGUGAGAGGUCAUAUAUGCUGGAGGUGAUGUUAAUACAGCUGAUAUAGCACCUGGCCCAGGAAAGAUACAGCAGGGCCACAUGGGGCUUGGAUAGAAGCUUUUCUGAGGCCAGGAGGUAGGGCUAGAGCUGGAUUCUAAAUCAUAGGACUGUGAUUCGAGGAACCGCAGGGAGAGCAAAAGAAGACAGGACAGUAUCCUGUGUUUGUGGCCACAAGCAGAAGCCAGGUGCUGAGAGCUGUUUGCAGCAGAGCUUGGAGCUGUUACAUUCUCAGUUGUGUUCCAUCAGAGCCCUGCAAGAAUUCAAUGUUGUCUGAACAGCAGCCAUGUCAAGGUCUCCCGCCCUUGUGCCAGCCCCUUCUCUCCACUCCCAAAGGGAUUCCCAAGGUUCCCUGAACAACAUAAACCUUGGGCCCUUCAGGCAGGUGUCAGCCACAGGAGUGGUGGGUUUACAAGUGCUACAUCGUGGAAACUGUUCUGUGCCAACUGUUGGUGGCUUUUUCUCUGCUAGCUCUGCAAAGGGAGGGCUGAGACUGCUCUGACGAGGCAGGGAGAGAGAAGACAGGACUUCACGCUCCCGGCUGGGCUGAUUUCUUCUCAACCAUCAGCAAUCAAAUCCGCAUCACCACUGUGAGAAUUAAUUCCUCCUCAAGCUCCCCUUCAGAGAGCAGAGAGCGCCCCGCUGAUGUGACUCUCCCUGGCCUCCAUCUUGCUGAGGAGCACUGGUUCACAAAGAAAGGUUAAUGUUGAAAACCUCCACAGAAUGUUCACAUGGGAAGCCAGUGGUCAGGACCAAAACUCUUGGUAACACCCAGUGUGGGGAGACAGCUGGUUGUGUCUCGCUGAUGGCCUUGGAAACCCUUCAGCUCCAAAGGGGAGACCUAGCAAUUGCUACUGACUUUACACAUGCUGUUGUCUUGAUGAUACAACCUCUAAGCACUCUUCCCCCAACACGAGAAAGGAUACAUUUUUCAGGUGAUACAGGAACUGAGGGCUUCUGCUUCCAUGAAGGUUCAUGAGGACCCAUGGAAAGUGAUAUUGGAACUAUCUGGGGAGAGGUAGAAAAAAAGAAGGGGGAAAAAGAAAAAAACCCUCAGUGAUGAUUUUUAGCUUCGGUCAAGUUGACAGAAAACUAUCCAGCACACCUAGAAUCCACUAAGUUCGGGAUUGGACACCAUGUUUUGAUGGAGCUUGUUUUAGUAUGGAAGAGGGAGACUAUAGAGCCCGUGUGUCUAAUAGGAAGAAGAGUGAAACAGCUGUGAGCAGGGGCCAAAGCUCCAGGACACAUCAACACCGACAUCCCUCCAAGAAGACCCCAUGUCCCAACAAUCUAUGGAUAGUUACAAUUCAUCAACAGAUCAAACCAUGAAGCCAGGGAGCCUUUAUGAUCUGAGUGUCUUCAGAAACAUUCUCCAGGCACAGCCCAGUGAGUGUGUGCUCUACUCACCUCCAGCAAUAGAAACCCUAACCAAGACAGUAUAGAAAAUGCUUUUGGCUCCUGGCACUUGAAUUCUCUCUUGUACUCUUCAAUGCUACUGUAGAUGGAAGAUGAACAAGAGAAAUGAUGUGGGGAAGGAAAUGAGGCUUCCUAAAGCCAUGAGGUAGCCCCUGCGUAGUGGAUUGGGGGCAGGAGCUGAAGGCCCACCCAAGGGCCUGUCCCAGAGAAGCACGUACAGUCAGAGGAAACAGCCAUUGGUUUCCUUGACUCUGAAAGGCUCUCUCACUGAGCUCAGUGACUGAACUAGACUGGCUGGAGCCCAGCAAGCCACAGAGACUCUCCUGUCUCCACCACACCUUUCUGCUUGGAUUACAGGCACACACCGUCACACCUGGCUACAGGCGUCCAUGGUCACACCUGGCUUUCUACCUUGGCUCUGGGUCUGCAGCAAUUUCAGCUGAAUCCUAUUUCUCAUUUCUAAGGAGUUCAGCUGAGAAUCCAAAAAAAAAAAAGAGAUUAUUUUAAACAUACAGUUCCAAGAAGAAAGGCUGGCAUGCUGAUGCUGAUUGGUGCCUGGACUGCCUAAGAAGGCCCUUGGGCUCUCUGGGCUUCUCUUAUUUUCCACUUUUCUCCAUGGGUGGCCCGGUUUCUGAAUGUAUGCCCAGCUUGGACCUUACAUUUCUGCAUGAACCAAAGCAAGGGCUUAGAAAAGGAUGUCUGAAGGCCUUUCCUGCUCUAUCACCCACAUCUCCUAUGGUAUGGUGACCACAGCUGACCGCUGAGGAGGCCAGAUGAGGGCGAUGUGAUAUGCCAGCACGCUCAGGUUUGUUCUUCUGGCUGGAGAAAUCAGGGAGACUUCCCAGAGGAGGUGAUGUUCAUAUCAGCCACCGACGGGGACUAUGAGACCAUAAGGAAAAGGCAAAUAAAAUAGCCUGAAUGUUCAUCUUCCAUAAGAGCAGAGCGCUGGUUGAACUGUCUUCAGUGCUGUCUAAGAGGAGGCAUGGCCUCUCUGCUGUCAGAGAUGCUCAGGCUGCACACAGCUUAGGCAGGCUGCAAAGCUCUGAGACCUUCAGCCCUGCUAGCUGUGAGUCACUGGCAACCGCUGAUCCACAGCUAUGUUCGACCUACAAAGCUAGCAAUCUCAGAUGUUCCACUCUAAUCGCCUCUCUGUGACUCCGUAAAUGGGGUUAAUAGCGGUACCGCUCUCCCAGGAUUGCAGAGAGAAAAACAUAACCACAGCAAGGAAAUCAAGUCCAGACUUGUAACCUUCAUCUACGUCUAUAGUGGCGUCACCAAAUGCAGACUUGGUAAAAGAUACUUGGUGGCCACCACUGCAUGGUGUUUCCACCAGGCAGACGCUAUUGACGGGAACAACCCUGAAGAGUGGGCAACAAUGAGACACAGAGAUAAUGGGGACGCGAGGAGUUCUGAAGCUUGAGUGUCAGAAGUCAAGGCCCAGGCAGAUGGAUUUUUCCUGCUUGAACCUGUUCUUAGGACGAGAGUCCUGUAUCCAGACAGCCAGCAGGACCUUAGCACGAGGGAGCUGGGCUUUCUCUUCUUCAGCCGAGACAGAGAAGAGGCUGAAAAGAAGGAAGAGAAGCAAGAGAGGGAAAGAAAACGUAUCCUUUGGUGAAUCCUCAAAACUCUGGGAGGCUAACAGCUAAAAACAAACCAAACAAACAAACAAAAAACUAACCAAACAACUGCUUGAGACUUGUUGGAGACUUUGCACUUUUGAAAAGUGUUGGGUCUGUUGAGGUUAUGGGGACUCUUCUGUUUAGAGCAGAUAUAUUUUGUGUUGUUCAAUAGCUAUGAGCUGAUGGGGACCAGGAGCAGAAUACUGUGGCUUGAAUGUGAAGUGUUCCUCACAAGCUCCUGUUUUGUGUUGCUAGUUAGCACUGCACUGGGAGACUGUGGAGCGUUUGAGACAGCCGGCAGACAUAAGACACUAGGCCUUUAGGGUUAUAACCCAGCCUUGUUUCUGGUCCGACUUCUUCCUAAUCUGCCAAACGUGAGACUUGGCAGCUGUAAGUGCUGGCCAACUCAGACCAAACCACUCCGCCAUGACAUUCUGAGAGCCGGAGCCAAAGCAAACCUCUCCAUUUCAUCACAGCGAUGAGAGAAUAACUCACAUACAUGUCUCUGUUAUGAGCCCCUUCUCUAGAGUGCUUUCUCUGAGUUGCAACGUAGCCUGGGGAAAAUUCUAGAGGGCCAGUUGUGACAGUUUGAAGAUCUACUUCCCUUUGGGAAAUUACAAAGGUUUAAGGACAGUGGUGAAAUGUCUUGACUCAAAUGCUUAAUCCCACUGCUUCCUCCGUGGAAAAUGGCUGAGAUGUGCAAGAGGCAAAGAAACACCCAUGGAGUACCCACUCAACGCCAGGAGGCUGACCUCCACAAUGUACUUGAUCUUCACUGCACUUGGCCAAAAGUGGAAGCAUCAUCUCGUUACAGAGCUGAGGGAAUUGGGUCAGAAAGGAUCGGGGCGUGUCCACAGAGCAAGCAAAUGGAUGUGGGAUACUCUGUCUCAGGAUCUUACUGCCUGCGGCAAGCUAUGACACCAAGCGAAUCCGAACAUGAUGAAUUGUAGACUCUUGAAUUCUGCCUGAAUUCUUACUGCCUUCGAGUGUCUCAUGGAGAUCGCUUCCUCUUGCUGCCAGCCGGGACACAGUGGCAGACUUGCAUAGGAAAAUACCCAGCCUGGCUGCCUGCAGCUAACAAGCCAGCCGCCAUUUAAAUUUCAAUCAGCCCCUCUGUUUGUGUGUGAGUUUCUUGGAUGGAUGAAAUUAGCAAUUUUGAAAAAUUGAUUAAAAUUGCUGGUUUCACGAAGCCUCAAAACACCAAAAUCAAUCCUUUUUUUUUUUUAAUUUCAAAUUCUCAUUGAAUCAGUCACGUUUGCACUAUGAGAAGCAGUGAGCGAGAAGCUGGCAUAAGGAGGGGCCUAAGGUCUGGGUGGGCCAGGGACCAGUUGUUUGGGGUUUUUUGUUUUGUUGUUUUUAGUUUUGAUUUGUUUGUUUGUCUCUUGAACAGUCAGCGUGACCUUCUGUGUUUGCAUUGUUCUUCUCUCUCUUCCUCUCUUUCUUUCUUUCUCUCUCUCUCUGGAAUAAAGGAGCUUGACUACAUAAGGUGUUUCUAGAAGGCUCUUCUCCAUGUAUAACUGUGAGUUCUAAAUCAAGUUUUAAAACAUGGAUGGCUCUUAGCAGGUGGAACCUGUGUUCAGAUGAGGUUAGGAAUAUUAACAGUAGAGGCCAUUGUGCUCCUACUUUAGUACUGAACCAAGCUGUUUGUUGUUUACAGCCGUUCUGUCCCGUCAGGAAGGGCUCUGAGAAAAAUACACUGGCUUCCAUUUUUAGCUGUAGAAAUGGAAGCUUAUAUCCUCCCCCAAUCCGGAUGACUAGUGCCAGGUACAGAGCGUUCUGAGCCGCCCAGCAGAGGGCAAUCUGAGGGCUUGCAGUGGCGCUGGGGUGUCUUAUGUAUGUGGUGUGUGUAUAUGACAUCCUGACUCCAACAGUGGCAGUUGGUAUGGAAGCAUCCUGGGUCCUCUCUUCUCUGUGAACUCUGAGCUAUAAUCUUGCAAGCUGUGCAGAGCUGAGUGAGAGGAGGAAAGUCAUCACAAAAGGCAGAGCUGGCUUAUGCUCUCCAUACCAUAGAGACCUGCUCAAGAGCACACACCCUCGGUCCUGACUGGCCUACACUCAGUGAAACUGUCCUUAGUGGUUGGUGUAAGGAAAAUGAAGACUGUCCUCUGCUGUGGGCAGCAGUACAAUCCCCCUGCCUCUUCCGGCCUUUAUGUGUCCCCAAGGAGAAGAACGAAGGCUGCCCAUCUCCGAGAACAAGGCCGCCCUGCUCUUUCUCCUUCAGUCCCAGUGAGAUGAGUGUCAUAGUCACUUCUGUCUUUCACAGGCCCCUAAGGCACAGCUGCCAACAGCCCUUAAUCACAAGAACCCCUACAGCUUCCUCUUUAAGAAGCAGAGGCCCAGAUGGACCUUUGUGAACUGGAGCCAGUUCCAGAAGCCCUGGUCCUCUCAGCACACUGGAAGUACAAAUUUGAGCAAGAUCCCUGCCCUCCAGUGUGUGGCCAGAUGGCCAGCGGGCUGCCGGAGGAAGCUGUGUUCACAGUUUUGUACAGGAGUCAGUAGGAAAGGGCAGAGGUGCCGUGGGUAA
This is a long non-coding RNA of Mus musculus (house mouse), 6676 nucleotides long. RefSeq annotates it as predicted gene, 31775. The transcript is spliced from 22 exons. The record is from RefSeq and is a predicted model, not a curated record. NCBI's taxonomy places the organism in Eukaryota, Metazoa, Chordata, Mammalia, Rodentia, Muridae.